This is a small nuclear RNA of Pongo abelii (Sumatran orangutan), 109 nucleotides long. The record is from Ensembl. Lineage: Eukaryota; Metazoa; Chordata; Mammalia; Primates; Hominidae.
GUGCUCACUUUGGCAGCACAUAUACUAAAAUUGGACCCAUACAGAGAAGAAUAGCGUGGCCCGCCUGUGCAAGGUGAACAUGCAGAUUUGUGAAGCGUUUCAUAUUUUA